RNAcentral lists this ribosomal RNA (1158 nucleotides) under Triticum aestivum (bread wheat). Its description in RNAcentral is "partial small subunit ribosomal RNA". The record is from RNAcentral. Lineage: Eukaryota; Viridiplantae; Streptophyta; Magnoliopsida; Poales; Poaceae.
AUGCGCCUGCGUGCAAUAGUGGGCAACCAGACCAUGCUGUUGCUGGUGGAUUCAGGCAGCACACAUAGCUUCGUCAAUUCAUCCUUCGCUGCCAGAAUUCAAGCCAAGCAUACUAGCAUUCCUGCUAUUGCUGUUCACGUGGCCAACGGUCAGCGCUUACACUGCACGUCCAUGGUUCCAAACCUCACUUGGAGCACACAAGGUCAUGAGUUCAGCACAAACAUGAGAGUGCUCGAUUUGGGUGUCUAUGAUGCAGUACUGGGAGUGGACUGGUUAGCUGUACACAGCCCCAUGCAGUGUGACUGGAGUCUGAAGACCAUGAACUACCAGAGGCACGGGUGCACCAUUCAGCUGACAGGCGUUCGGACAGAAGAAACAGCAGCAGUAUCGGUCAUGGACGCAGCCACAUUAUGGCAGAUGCAGGAAGCCAAUGAAAUUUGGGGGGCGGCCCUGCUUGAAAUUCAGACGACACCAACUACAGGUUCAGAGUCGGAGGGGCCACUUCCUGCAAUCAUUCAGAAAGUGCUCACAGAUUUCAGUGAUGUCUUUGAAGAACCAACAGGACUUCCCCCGCAUCAUCAGUAUGAUCAUGCAAUCAAUCUGGAACCCGGUGCAGCUCCAGUGAAUUGCAGGCCAUAUCGCUAUUCUCCACUCCAGAAAGAUGAGAUCGAGCGUCAAGUCACCGAGAUGCUACGCACGGGGGUGAUUACGCAUAGCAUGAGCCCAUUUGCUGCCCCCGUUCUCCUGGUAAAGAAAAAAGAUGGAACGUGGCGAUUCUGUGUCGAUUACCGCCGCUUGAACACCGUCACCAUCAAGAACAAGUUUCCCCUUCCGGUCAUCGACGAACUGCUGGAUGAAUUAGCCGGUGCAGCAGUCUUCUCCAAGAUCGAUUUGCGCGCUGGCUACCAUCAAAUUCGGAUGCGCGAAAGUGAUGAGGAGAAGAUAACAUUCAAGACCCAUCACGGACAUUUUCAAUUCCGUGUCAUGCCGUUCGGCAUCACCAAUGGACCACCAACAUUCCAGUGCCUGAUAAAUUAUGUCCUCUCCGGCCCAAACCGUAAGUUUGUCAUCACGUUUUUGGAUGACAUUUUGGUGUUCAGCCAUACCUUGCAGGAGCAUGUGGAGCAUCUGCGCACUGUCUUUGCUCUUCUUCGUUAG